Molecule: ribosomal RNA, 492 nt
Filed under: uncultured bacterium
Lineage: Bacteria
Description: partial 16S ribosomal RNA
Rfam family: Bacterial small subunit ribosomal RNA
Source: RNAcentral
AGUGAACGCUGGCGGUAGGCCUAACACAUGCAAGUCGAACGGCAGCACAGUAAGAGCUUGCUCUUACGGGUGGCGAGUGGCGGACGGGUGAGGAAUACAUCGGAAUCUACUUUUUCGUGGGGGAUAACGUAGGGAAACUUACGCUAAUACCGCAUACGACCUACGGGUGAAAGCAUGGGAUCUUCGGACCUUGCGCGAUUGAAUGAGCCGCUGUCGGAUUAGCUAGUUGGCGGGGUAAAGGCCCACCAAGGCGACGAUCCGUAGCCGGUCUGAGAGGAUGAUCAGCCACAUUGGAACUGGAACACGGUCAAGACUCCUACGGGAGGCAGCAGUGGGGAAUAUUGGACAAUGGGCGCAAGCCUGAUCCAGCCAUACCGCGUGGGUGAAGAAGGCCUUCGGGUUGUAAAGCCCUUUUGUUGGGAAAGAAAAGCAGCAGGUUGAUACCCCGCUGUUCUGACGGUACCCAAAGAAUAAGCACCGGCUAACUUCGUG